Molecule: ribosomal RNA, 267 nt
Filed under: Ctenophora environmental sample
Lineage: Eukaryota; Metazoa; Ctenophora
Description: partial Bacterial large subunit ribosomal RNA
Rfam family: Bacterial large subunit ribosomal RNA
Source: RNAcentral
ACAUGAGUAACGAUAAUGUGGGUGAAAAACCUACACGCCGAAAGUCCAAGGUUUCCUGCGCAACGUUAAUCGGCGCAGGGUGAGUCGGCCCCUAAGGCGAGGCAGAAAUGCGUAGUCGAUGGGAAACGGAUUAAUAUUUCCGUACUUAUAUAAUCAGUGAUGGAGGGACGGAGAAGGCUAAGCAAGCUUGGCGUUGGUUGUCCAAGUGAAAGCAAGUAGGCCGAGUGUUUAGGUAAAUCCGGACACUUAAAGCUGAGAUGCGAGACG